ACAAACAUCCGACCCCCGUUUUAUCCCCUUAGGGGUCGAUUUUCGUAAAAUCAGUUCUUAGCGGAUGUCUACGUCCUAUAAGGAACCUACCUGCUAAAUUACAACUUUGUAGCUGUUAUAGUUUCGGAGGUUUCGUGAUGAGUGAGUCAACCUACCAUCCCCCAUUUUAACCCCAAAAGGGAGUUGCUUUAUAAAGAUACAUUAUUUGAACACCUUCUCACCAUCUAAAGACUGAACAUUUUAAAUUUCAAGUCUCUUACUUCAAAAACACAGGACUUUCAUACAAACUUUCAACCCCCGUUUUACCUCUUUAGGGGUCGAAUUUCAUAAAACCCGUUCUUAGCAAAUGUUUACGCCCUAUAAGGAGCCUAUCUGUCAAAUUUCAAGUUUGUAGGUGUUAUAGUUCCGGAGAUCUCGUGAUCAGUGAGUCAACCUACGAUCCCCCGUUUUAACCCCAAAAAGGAGUUGAUUUCUAAAGAUACAUUAUUUGGACACCUUUUCACCACCUAUAGAGCUUAAAUUUUAAAUUUCAAGCCUCUUACUUCAAAAACAUAGCACUUUCAUACAAACUUGCAACCCCCGUUUUACCCCCUUAGGGGUCGAGUUUUGUAAAAUCCGUUCUUAGCAGAUGCCUACGUCUUAUAAGGAGCCUACCUGCCAAAUUUCAAGUUUGUAGGUGUUAUAGUUUCGGAGAUUUCGUGAUGAGUGAGUGACCUUUCGCUUUUAUAUAUAUUAU
RNAcentral lists this unclassified non-coding RNA (736 nucleotides) under Melitaea cinxia (Glanville fritillary). RNAcentral's name for it is "misc RNA ENSMCXG00005010369.1". Lineage: Eukaryota; Metazoa; Arthropoda; Insecta; Lepidoptera; Nymphalidae. The record is from RNAcentral.